Atta colombica is the source of this 5164-nucleotide RNA transcript. It is a transcript of the gene named ALK tyrosine kinase receptor, with no coding region annotated. The record is from RefSeq and is a predicted model, not a curated record. The transcript has 24 exons. NCBI's taxonomy places the organism in Eukaryota, Metazoa, Arthropoda, Insecta, Hymenoptera, Formicidae.
UCGUUGUAAAUUUCUCACAGCGUGUCGCUAGUACUCUUGAAACGUAUUUUCAACGUUCUCUCUCAGAAUUCUUUCUAAAUUCUAAUUCUCAUCAAGAAGCAGCUACGUUUGUAGAAUCAUGUCUGCUAUCUCCGAAAAGCAGAAUGCGCGAUGUUGCGCAUGACCUCGUCUGAAAUUAUUAAACAGCCACUGGACGAAAUUGCGAAGUAAUGAUCAACGACACGCGGCCGAAACUGGCGACCACCAUCGCGGGUUAUAGUCAGGCGAGUCGCACGUGUAAUCGUCGACAUGUGUCUGUAUAUAACGGCAGCAACGGCAGAUUGUUGUUUGGGAUCGUCCUGUUUUGUUGUUACAUCACAAUGACAUGCGGCUCUAAGAUCAGCAUGUGGCAUGGAAAGAGUUUUAAGGAUCUUCUGGCAGCUCUACCGUCAAAACACUCACCUCACUAUCCGCAAAUGGGCUAUUGCGACCUUGACACGGAUUGCGAUUGGUCGUGGAACGAUACCCAUGGUUUUAAGAAAGUUAAAGCGCGCACCAGUCUGUCAAGAACUUUUCCGAACACGGAUGCUAAUAAUUCCUCAAAUGGCCACUUUCUGUGGUUCAGCGGCAAAGGGGAUGCUCAUAUAUGGUCCAAAUCGAUUCCGCGUACAGGUCCGCGUUGCCGUAUCGAAUUUUCACUUUAUAUGGUGGAAAUGGAAAACGGAUUCAUAAAUCUCGUCAUACAAACUAACAACAUGAGCUCCAUCGCGGUGACAAAAAGCGGAAAUAAUACCUCCAUGUGGAAGAAAAUAAGUUUUUCAUUACGCGCGAUUGAUCAGUCCUAUAAAUUAGUUUUAGAGGUCUAUGUACCCUUUUCUAAUUCGAGCAUCGGCGUUGACAACCUUCGCCUAGUUAAUUGCUUUUCAGAAUCCAUUGGAGAUUGUACGGAAGAUAUGUUUCGGUGUAACAACGGUUCCUGCUUAAACAGAACCCGUAUCUGCGAUUUCACGAAAGAUUGUCCCGAUGGCGAGGACGAAGCACUCGAGUGCGACAAGAUUCCAAAGAAUGCGAGGUGUAACUUCGAAGAUGGUUGGUGCGGAUGGACGAACGUUCCUGAAAGACCUCUAAAUUGGACUCUUCAUAAAGGUCCUACGCCAACCGAAAGAACUGGACCCAGUUACGAUCAUACUUACCGUAACGAAACUGGAACGUACGCGUUUGUAAACAUGGCUUCUAAAGAUAUGAAAUAUGGCAGUCGAGGCACCAUUACAAGUCCUCUAUAUAAUCCAACACCACCUUAUGCCAACAACCCUAAAAGUCCUUAUUAUAAAUCAUGUCAAAUACGGUUUUUCUAUCACAAACAUGGUCCACAUGCCGCAUCUCUUGGACUCUUUUUGGUCCAAGUAAGACCACACGGAAAUCAUACCGAAAACUUAUGGUGGUCCUACGGAACUAAUAGCGAUAUUUGGUAUAAUGAAGCUGUUGCUCUACCUGAUAUAAAAUAUAGGUAUCACUUGCAAUUUGAAGCGUCCAGAGGAUAUUCUUCCAAAAGUGAUAUAGCAAUUGACGAUAUUUCUUUGAGUCGAGAAUGUUUUGGCAUUGGAGUUCCACGUGAAGUUGUAGGUAAUUUUAAUUACUAUACACCCGUUAUCGAGUCCGAAAUAAUGCCACCGCAGCAUCCAGAUUUUGUAAAUGAGACAGUUAUUCGAAUUACCACUUGCGCGGCUUCCGGCAGGACCGGUCCUACUGAUGAAAAAUGUACUGAAAAAUAUAAUAACACAAAUAUAGAAUUGUUGAUACCGUCAUUGAUACAAGAGGAGAAAAGAUCGACCUUUAAUUUGUAUGGAGUCCAACGAUGGACUGCACCACGCGGUGAAUACUACACUUUAAUCGCCAUCGGAGCACGAGGAGGCUUGGGUUCGAGCAAUACCGGCAUCACUUUGGGUGCAUUUGUUCGCGGUGUCAUAGAACUCCAAAAGGGCGAUCAGUUAUAUUUCAUGAUUGGUCAAGAGGGAACGGAUGCGUGUGCCAAAAAUCUUGGCUUAAAAAGAACUGCCUGUCCAUCGAAUCAAUAUGCCGAAUCAAUAUCACUAUCGCAGGCAUCGAAAAUGCGAGAAGUGAAGAAAGUUGAGUUUAGGAAUCCUGGUGGCGGCGGCGGUGGUGCGACUGCCAUUUUCACAUUGAAAGCAAACGGUGAUCCGGAGCCCAUCUUAAUCGCGGGUGGUGGCGGUGGUUUAGGAUUGAAUCCUACUAUGGACGAUGGAUUGCAGCAUGGACGCGGUCCCUUUCCCAUGGGUAGACUUUCAUCUUCUCCGUCCAAUUUUUCAGAACGCAUGGGUGGACCCGGUGCUAGUUGGAAUGGAACACGGCCUAAUUUUCAACAAAAGGCUUGGGGAAUGUCAUUAAUUUAUGGAGGUAUAGGAGGUAUCGGUUGUGAAUCGGGAAUUGGGGAAAUUCAUGGUGAUGGAGGCUUUGGCGGAGGUGGGGGCGGUUGCCAAUCAGGAGGUGGUGGCGGAGGUUACAUUGGUGGGAAUGCUGGACAGAAUGAUGGAAGUGGUGAAGGUGGUUAUUCAUACGCCAGUCAGAAGCUCACCGAUAUUUAUUUUAAAGCUGCAGCUCAUUCUGGCCAAGGCGAGAUCUUCGUUAUACCCGCGAUCAGUGGUUGCGGUUGCGAUUACCGUUGCGUCGCGCUCGAUCAGUACUUGAGCGAGACCAAGUGUCUCUGUCCUCAGGGUUGGUUGCUCAGUAACGAUUCAAAAUCCUGCAUCAUGGCUGACGAUUCCAAAGAUGGUCAUCAAACGUACAUGAUCCAACUUGUAGUUGUAAUCAUUGGCUUGCUUACUAUUAUUGGAAUUUGCCUAAUAUCUUAUAAACGGUACCAAAAACAGAAAGCGCUUUCCCAUCGCCGCCAAGUGAUGUUUGGCAAUGGCACUGAAUUAGCUGCAUUGCGUCCAGGACACCAAUCGGACACGAUGAUGACCGAAUAUAACCCCAAUUAUGAGUUUGCUGGCAAUCUCUACAGCUUCAAAGACUUGCCGCAAAUACCUCGCGAGUGUAUCGAUUUAGUAAAACCUCUCGGCCAAGGCGCCUUUGGCGAAGUUUUCCAGGGCGUUUACAAAUACGGAGGUGAUGAACAUCCCGUCGCCGUCAAGACGCUACCAUCUUUAUCCACGACGCAAGCAGAAGCUGAUUUCAUGAUGGAGGCGUUAAUAAUGAGCAAAUUUAAUCAUCCGAAUAUAGUACACUUUAUCGGCGUCUCUUUUGACAAACAUCCCAGAUACAUCGUUCUCGAAUUAUUAGCCGGAGGCGACCUUAAGAAUUUUCUACGUGAAGAACGGCCUCGAUCAGACCGACCUACAUCAUUGACAAUGCUAGAUCUUAUUAUGUGCGGCUAUGACGUCGCAAACGGCUGUAAAUAUAUGGAGGAAGCGCGUUUUAUACACCGAGAUAUCGCCGCUAGGAAUUGUUUAUUGACAACUAAAGCACCGGGUCGUACCGUUAAAAUCGCAGAUUUCGGUAUGGCCAGGGACAUUUAUCGAAGCGAUUAUUAUAGGAAAGGUGGCAAGGCGAUGCUACCCAUAAAAUGGAUGCCACCCGAAAGUUUCUUGGAUGGCAUAUUCACUACAAAAACUGAUGUCUGGGCCUUCGGCGUGCUCCUGUGGGAAAUUAUGUCAUUUGGAUAUAUGCCCUACACCGGAUGUGCAAAUCGUGAAGUCAUGUCGAUGGUACAGUCUGGUGGUCGUCUUGAGAAACCCGCGGGAUGCCCAGAUCCUAUAUAUGGAAUCAUGACGCGGUGCUGGCAUCCACGGCCUGACGACAGGCCAAGUUUCUCUACGAUUGCUGAAAGAAUCGGUUAUUGUUUACAGGAUCCUGAUGUAAUAAAUAAACCCACGCCUAAUUUCGACAUAUUGCCACAUAUUUGCGAUCGUGAAAUAACAAUUAUGAGACCGGAUCCGGAAGCGGAAUGUAUCAAUGUGCGGUCUAAUUUGGAUUACAUACAACCGAGGGUCAGCGAUCCACGUUCCGUUGCACGUCGUGUAGAUCAAGCUAUGGGUGCCACCACCUACGAUUCCGAAAAUGAAAAAUCAAUCGAGGAUAAAUACGGCGAGUCUUACGCAAAAUCAACGGGAUGUCAGCAAGGAUUCAGUUGCAACACCUGUGAUUCUAGUAUGGAUACCUUCGAACAAAUUUACAACAGUGACAAUGAUGAAGAUCAUGAUGACGAUGUGAUUGAAAAUAAGGACAAAAGGAGGAUCGAUCAAUCAGAUCGACCAGAAAACAAGGCAAUACAUCGAAACAGUGAUAUUGAAGACCACGAUAAUGUAGACAAUGGCAACAACCGUCCAGAGGAUGAACGUCAUAUGACUGCCAACAUCGAUAGCGCAAUAACAGAUCGCAAAAACGGUAAUGAGAGCACAACGACUACCGACACCAAUUCCGAUUCUCUGAUAGCACAAUCCUCGGACACUCCGCCCGACACAAUAACGAACUCAUCGCCCAACACGCGCUCUUGUUCGCCAAGUCGUAUCAUCGGCCUCAACGCCAAUGUUAGUAAUGUGAACGGUAUGGUGAAGAAGAAUACCUUGAAAGCAACCCUGAGUCUGGAUCCAAGCGCGCUCUGCAGAGGCACCAUCCCUUACGAGAAGAUCACAACACAACGCUUGAGCAGUUCAUACACGCCGGGCAGUAUGGAACUAAGGAAGGUAACUUGACCUCUCCCCUACAUUCGACGUCCUGCAAAGUUUCCAUCUGUACAUGACCGUGGUCCUUGAUCGAAGGAUUCCCUGGGUCACGAGCUGCCAAGGGAAGAAGAGUGUUCCUGCUGAGAUUUAUCCGAGGGGGGUUGACGAGGCUGCCCGGCCGCGCUCGGCUGCAACGUUGCUCGUCGAUUGCAGCUGCAACGAUCGGCCACAACGACUGCGAUUAUAAGGGAUACGCAGCUCGUAGAACUCUCCUCGCCUCCGUGGGUUCAGGACAACGAAUAUUCGCGUCGUUACUAUUCUGAGGAGACUCUCCUGUGAAUGGAAAUCGAGGGAAACCUUCAAAUUUCUCUUCAUAGACGACGCUUUUCUGAUGCGCGCCGAACAUUGGUUUCCAUAAGAAAGACACGCGAUUAUCGUAAGUCGGAAGAAAAGAGAUUGUUAUAAAUGAACGCAAAACAAGCGAAUUAUGUACAUACGGAGAA